Molecule: ribosomal RNA, 499 nt
Filed under: Enterococcus faecalis
Lineage: Bacteria; Bacillati; Bacillota; Bacilli; Lactobacillales; Enterococcaceae
Description: bacterial SSU rRNA
Rfam family: Bacterial small subunit ribosomal RNA
Source: RNAcentral
UUCGGGGACAAAGUGACAGGUGGUGCAUGGUUGUCGUCAGCUCGUGUCGUGAGAUGUUGGGUUAAGUCCCGCAACGAGCGCAACCCUUAUUGUUAGUUGCCAUCAUUUAGUUGGGCACUCUAGCGAGACUGCCGGUGACAAACCGGAGGAAGGUGGGGAUGACGUCAAAUCAUCAUGCCCCUUAUGACCUGGGCUACACACGUGCUACAAUGGGAAGUACAACGAGUCGCUAGACCGCGAGGUCAUGCAAAUCUCUUAAAGCUUCUCUCAGUUCGGAUUGCAGGCUGCAACUCGCCUGCAUGAAGCCGGAAUCGCUAGUAAUCGCGGAUCAGCACGCCGCGGUGAAUACGUUCCCGGGCCUUGUACACACCGCCCGUCACACCACGAGAGUUUGUAACACCCGAAGUCGGUGAGGUAACCUUUUUGGAGCCAGCCGCCUAAGGUGGGAUAGAUGAUUGGGGUGAAGUCGUAACAAGGUAGCCGUAUCGGAAGGUGCGGC